Molecule: long non-coding RNA, 1127 nt
Organism: Protopterus annectens (West African lungfish)
Lineage: Eukaryota; Metazoa; Chordata; Ceratodontiformes; Protopteridae
Exons: 3
Source: RefSeq, a predicted model, not a curated record
GCUACACAUCUUUUCUGAACAUUCUUAGUGCUAGUCUCACUUUAUCUAAAUAAAAAAAGUAGGCAAAUUAUAAUGUAGAUCUCUCUGUCAAGAGUGCUAGAAAUGCUUAUGGAACAAUACUGCCUGCAUAUCCUUCUUUCCAUUUACAAUGCUGUCUCCUGGAAUUACAAGCAGGAUUUGAUUUGAAAUCCAAGCUAUUCUCGUGAAAAAAGAGCUGUAGCUGAAUACUGCUGUUAAAACACUCUACUUCUUUUAACAGCACUUCAUAAAGCAUUUUAUACCCGCAGUAAGGCUUUCCUUCCAGUGCACUGGAGCAGCUAUGUCUAGCUUCCGAUCGUGCAGUCAGACUCUGCUUCACUGCUGUUGAAUAAAGUUGAAGAUAACAAGGCUCAGAGAGAGAAAACCAUCCUGUGCCAUUUCCAAAAAUGCAAAGAUGUACUCCUUGGAAUGAAAAUGCACUGAAAAUAGGCAGUCUUUUUCUGUGAUUCUCAAGAAUAGCCCAGAGGAGAAGGAUAUACUGAAAAUAAGCAACCUGAAGCUAAAUCAUACCAUGUAAUAUGGAAGUGCACCAGUGAAAGCCAGUACACUGGGGUUCAGAGAACAGAGAGUGGAUUCCAAAGAUGCUGAUAAAUCUUUUGCAAUUUGCAAUGUGUGUAGCACAGGCAAGGUGCCAUGUGAAGGACGUUGUACAGUUCUGGAGGCCAAAAGGUAUACAACUAGGUGGAAAGAAAGCAUGCAGUUAAAAAUGUAGAUGAAAGUGAAGGGCCUUAGAUAUAAGGAAGGCUAUGAAAGCUAUGAAUGCACACACGCACACACACUCAUACACACAUACUAUGAGAUAUUGAAAUGUGAUUGAAAUUACUUAAGUGAUUAUGAGAUACUGAAAACAUCUGUAUUAUUUAUAGCUAUAGUUUGAAAAAAAAUUUUUAUACGGGGCAACCCCCCCCCACAUAUGGAGAUAACCCCCAAACAUAUAUACCAAUUUCUUGGUUGUACAAUAUUGUGGAAAUGAGACAUUCCCCAAAAUAGUGCACUAGAGUGUUACACAAUCCUUGAGCAAGUAAUUUCCAAGGAACUGUGCUAUGAGGACACAAAGAGCAGCUUAUAUGGGCAUCACGUACACAUGC